RNAcentral lists this ribosomal RNA (253 nucleotides) under uncultured bacterium. RNAcentral's name for it is "partial 16S ribosomal RNA". It matches the Rfam family "Bacterial small subunit ribosomal RNA", at positions 524 to 776 of the family's 1533-position model. The record is from RNAcentral.
UACGGAGGGGGCUAGCGUUGUUCGGAAUUACUGGGCGUAAAGCGCACGUAGGCGGCUUUGUAAGUUAGAGGUGAAAGCCCGGGGCUCAACCCCGGAAUUGCCUUUAAGACUGCAUCGCUAGAAUUGUGGAGAGGUAAGUGGAAUUCCGAGUGUAGAGGUGAAAUUCGUAGAUAUUCGGAAGAACACCAGUGGCGAAGGCGACUUACUGGACACAUAUUGACGCUGAGGUGCGAAAGCGUGGGAAGCAAACAGG